Oncorhynchus masou masou (cherry salmon) is the source of this 404-nucleotide long non-coding RNA. RefSeq lists it as uncharacterized. Lineage: Eukaryota; Metazoa; Chordata; Actinopteri; Salmoniformes; Salmonidae. The record is from RefSeq and is a predicted model, not a curated record. The transcript has 3 exons.
GGAGUCAGACUGUGUCUGAACUGAGAGAGAAACUAGAAGACUUCCUUAAAGGAGAAUGGACCAAGAUCUCCACUACAGUGAAUAUAGUGGAUGUUGUACUGCCUCCAGAGCCCAAGACCAGAGAACAGUUGUUACAAUAUUCCUGUCAGCUCACACUGGACCCAAACACAGCACACACACAACUCUCUGUCUGAAGGGAACAGAAAGGUGACCUUUACAGGCCAAGUCCAACCAUAUCCUGACCAUCCAGACAGAUUCACCAACUACAGGCAGGUUCUGUGUAGAGAGGGUCUGUCUGGACGCUGUUACUGGGAGGUGGAGAGGACUGGUGAUGUUGAUACAGCAGUCUCAUAUAAAGACAUCAGCAGAACAGAGGAUGAUGGUGGAUUUGGAUACAAUAACAA